RNAcentral lists this long non-coding RNA (1181 nucleotides) under Gallus gallus (chicken). Lineage: Eukaryota; Metazoa; Chordata; Aves; Galliformes; Phasianidae. The record is from RNAcentral.
GGGUCCUCUCCUGCGUCAAAUUUCCGCCUCAUUUCUUCUUCAUAAAGGUCUUCCAGCAAAUAAGCUUCUGCUCUGUCCUUCAGGGCAUUCACAUUGGUUGGUUCCAGCUGCAGAACUUGUGUACAAACUGUUAUGGCUUCUGUAGCCUGCUGAUUCUUUGACAAACAGUGACAGAUCCUUUCUUUGGCACGAGUAGCGUAAACUGGGACAUCUGGCUCAGUUUUCAUUACAGAGUCAUAUUUACUGAUAGCAUCUUCAUAUCUGCCUUCUCUGAUGAAUUCCUCCGCUGACUCAAUCUGCUUAUUGAGUUUCUUUACUUGUUUAUAAAGGGAGAAACACUGCUUAUGGUCUUGGUCAAGCUUCAGACACUCCCGGACUUCACUGAGCGAUAAUUCAUGGUCCCCCAGCUGAUAAUAUAUUCUGCUGAUUUUAUAGAAGGCUUCGGUGUUAUCACUCUUUAAUUUGGCAGCAGCUUUCAAGUCACUAAUUGCUUUGCUUGGCUCCCCUUCCUUUAUAUAACACUCAGCUCGAAGUUCCCGUAGCUCUGCAUCCCAAACACAAACUGCCAAGAUUUCAUCAAGAAGAGGAAUUGCAGCUUCAUAAUCCUCUUGCCGGUAUGCAGACAAUGCUUGUGAAUACAGGCGCUGAAGCUCAUCAGAUUUCGUCAGCUGAGUUUGGGCUUCUUUCUCCUCAUUAUUGCUGGGAUUGGAUUUGAGCACAUUUUUAAAGUCAUCUUCUGCUUCAUCAAAUUUUCCUUGCUUGAGGAGUAGAUGGCCCCUCUGUAAUCUUGCGGAUGUGAAGUCCUGCUUUAAUUCAACCACUUUACUUAAGUCACGAAUUGCUGCUUUAGAUUUGCCCAUGGCUAAGUACACUGUGGCUCUUCUGUAAUAAGCAAUGUAGUUAUCAGAGUCUCCCUCUAUAGCUGCAUGAAAAUGAGACAGGGCAUCUGCUAGUUGUCCAGCAGCCAAUAACUUCUUCCCCAUUUCAAGCUGUUUUUCUACUUCGGCAUUUAUUCCACACUCAGCCCCCUGGUACUGCAGAUCGAGGAGCACCAGCAGGAAGGGCAACGCGGAGCCUAAGCGGCCGGCAGAGGCCGCGGCUGACACCAUCGCCGCCGACGCCCGCGGCCGCAGUGGCGGCGCCCCGGCCCGACGGCUUCGACUCGUGCGGGGAGGGUCGUG